This 132-nucleotide small nuclear RNA is filed under the name Nicotiana attenuata. RNAcentral's name for it is "U2 spliceosomal RNA". It matches the Rfam family "U2 spliceosomal RNA". Rfam says of the family: U2 is a small nuclear RNA (snRNA) component of the spliceosome (involved in pre-mRNA splicing). Lineage: Eukaryota; Viridiplantae; Streptophyta; Magnoliopsida; Solanales; Solanaceae. The record is from Rfam by way of RNAcentral.
AUACCUUUCUCGGCCUUUUCGCUAAGAUCAUGUGUAGUAUCUGUUCUUAUCAGUUUUAAAAAAAACAACCCUAUUUUCUCCCAAUUGAUAUCUUCCUUUGCUUAAUACUUGCUCUGAUUGUCAUUAGCCAAU